CCUACGGGAGGCUGCAGUGAGGAAUAUUGGUCAAUGGACGAGAGUCUGAACCAGCCAAGUAGCGUGAAGGAUGACUGCCCUAUGGGUUGUAACCUUCUUUUAUAUGGGAAUAAAACAGGGUAUGCAUACCCUCUUGUAUGUACCAUAUGAAUAAGGAUCGGCUAACUCCGUGCCAGCAGCCGCGGUAAUACGGAGGAUCCGAGCGUUAUCCGGAUUUAUUGGGUUUAAAGGGAGCGUAGGUGGAUUGUUAAGUCAGUUGUGAAAGUUUGGGGUUCAACCGUAAAAUUGCAGUUGAAACUGGCAGUCUAGAUUACAGUAGAGGUAGGCGGAAUUCGUGGUGUAGCGGGGAAAUGCUUAGAUAUCACGAAGAACUCCGAUUGCGAAGGCAGCUCACUGGACUGCAACUGACACUGAGGCUCGAAAGUGUGGGUAUCAAACAGGAUUAGAUACCCUUGUAGUC
This 460-nucleotide ribosomal RNA is filed under the name uncultured bacterium. RNAcentral's name for it is "partial 16S ribosomal RNA". It matches the Rfam family "Bacterial small subunit ribosomal RNA", at positions 338 to 795 of the family's 1533-position model. The record is from RNAcentral.